GAUGAACGCUGACAGAAUGCUUAACACAUGCAAGUCAACUUGAACUUCGGUUUGGGUGGCGGACGGGUGAGUAACGCGUAAAGAACUUGCCUCACAGCUAGGGACAACAUUUGGAAACGAAUGCUAAUACCUGAUAUUAUGAUUUUAGGGCAUCCUAGAAUUAUGAAAGCUAUAUGCGCUGUGAGAGAGCUUUGCGUCCCAUUAGCUAGUUGGAGAGGUAACGGCUCACCAAGGCGAUGAUGGGUAGCCGGCCUGAGAGGGUGAUCGGCCACAAGGGGACUGAGACACGGCCCUUACUCCUACGGGAGGCAGCAGUGGGGAAUAUUGGACAAUGGACCAAGAGUCUGAUCCAGCAAUUCUGUGUGCACGAUGAAGUUUUUCGGAAUGUAAAGUGCUUUCAGUUGGGAAGAAAAAAAUGACGGUACCAACAGAAGAAGUGACGGCUAAAUACGUGCCAGCAGCCGCGGUAAUACGUAUGUCACAAGCGUUAUCCGGAUUUAUUGGGCGUAAAGCGCGUCUAGGUGGUUAUAUAAGUCUGGUGUGAAAAUGCAGGGCUCAACUCUGUAUUGCGUUGGAAACUGUGUAACUAGAGUACUGGAGAGGUAAGCGGAACUACAAGUGUAGAGGUGAAAUUCGUAGAUAUUUGUAGGAAUGCCGAUGGGGAAGCCAGCUUACUGGACAGAUACUGACGCUGAAGCGCGAAAGCGUGGGUAGCAAACAGG
This 722-nucleotide ribosomal RNA is filed under the name uncultured Fusobacterium sp. RNAcentral's name for it is "bacterial SSU rRNA". It matches the Rfam family "Bacterial small subunit ribosomal RNA", at positions 28 to 776 of the family's 1533-position model. Lineage: Bacteria; Fusobacteriati; Fusobacteriota; Fusobacteriia; Fusobacteriales; Fusobacteriaceae. The record is from RNAcentral.